Hordeum vulgare subsp. vulgare (domesticated barley) is the source of this 135-nucleotide non-coding RNA. The record is from Rfam. NCBI's taxonomy places the organism in Eukaryota, Viridiplantae, Streptophyta, Magnoliopsida, Poales, Poaceae.
AAAAUAUUUUCUCCGUCCCACAAUUCCUGUCUUAGAUUUGUCGAGAUAUGAACAUAGCUAGUCAUCUCUUAGUUUCAGAUACAGUCAUUUCUACACAAAUCUAAGACAAGAAUUUUGGGACGAAGGGAGUUUAAA